RNAcentral lists this long non-coding RNA (524 nucleotides) under Coffea arabica (coffee). RNAcentral describes it as "long non-coding RNA (CARA_LNC003700)". Lineage: Eukaryota; Viridiplantae; Streptophyta; Magnoliopsida; Gentianales; Rubiaceae. The record is from RNAcentral.
GACUACAUAUCGUACGUUUUUCCAGAUUAAGUACUAGUACAAAAGAAUAAACUAUUACUUUUGAGCAAAAAGAUAACAGUUGGUUCUAAGGUUACAAACAACCCCCAAAACCCCUCAUUUGUACUAAGAUCAACUCAAUUGGAGGAAUCGUGUAGCCCUAAAAUUUUGGGCAGCAUGCCCUUUGUAUUUACCUAUUUUUCCCAACCACUUAUGACUUCAUUAUUUUCCUCAAUCAAUCCCAAAGUCAUACGCAAUAUAAAUUCAUCACAACAGCCGUUCAAUAGGCUCCAAGUCAUUCAAGUACAAAAUUUAGUUAGGAAAAAUGACCGGAAAUGAAAGUUAAGCCCUAAAACCCAGAAACAGUUUUGAUGUCAUUUAGCAUAUUGGACACAACCUGCGCUACGAUUAUCGGAUGGGUGUACGAUAUAUACCAUUUCGAAGCUAAAAGAAAGGGCUACAAUGUUGAAGAAGGCCACUCAGUCCAGUUUACAAUGUAUCUAGGUCAAAUUUAUCAAAACACCCCC